GCUUCAGUGGCCUAGUGGUUAGAGCAUCUGUCUUGGAUGCAGGAGGUUGUGGGUUUGAUCCCCAGCCAAGUCA
This is a non-coding RNA of Potamilus streckersoni, 73 nucleotides long. The record is from the annotation of a GenBank genome assembly. Lineage: Eukaryota; Metazoa; Mollusca; Bivalvia; Unionida; Unionidae.